Molecule: long non-coding RNA, 224 nt
Filed under: Linum usitatissimum (flax)
Lineage: Eukaryota; Viridiplantae; Streptophyta; Magnoliopsida; Malpighiales; Linaceae
Description: long non-coding RNA (LUSI_LNC005930)
Source: RNAcentral
UUGGAAAUAUGCACCAUGGACUUGACCUUGGUGUGAUACCAAAGAUAAGACGGAUAUGUGAGUUGACGGGAAACCUCACUUUAGCUCGGGAGCUAGCUGAAACUAGCUAGCAUCAGCUCUACGGUGAGCUAGAUGAAGUUAGGGACUGACACUGAAGCUCGUCCAGCUCAGCCUUGAGCUAAAUGACAGUGUCACUAGCUGGGGUACUCAGCUGAGCUGGAGUG